RNAcentral lists this microRNA precursor (149 nucleotides) under Oryza punctata. Its description in RNAcentral is "pre miRNA MIR439". The record is from RNAcentral. Lineage: Eukaryota; Viridiplantae; Streptophyta; Magnoliopsida; Poales; Poaceae.
ACGCGCCCUAUCGAACAGGGGCAGUUCGAUAUGUCCCUGUUAGGCACUGUAGCAAGUACUUUUUUAUUUUUUUCUUGAACAACUACCCUGUUGAACUGGGGGCAGUUCGAUAGGUACCCCCUAUCGAACUGCCUCAGUUCGACAGGGCG